AGUGAACGCUGGCGGUAUGCCUAAUACAUGCAAGUCGAACGACCGCAUAGUAAGCGUUCGCCUUUACGGUUGGCGGCUGGCGGAUGGGUAACACAUACAUCGGCAUCUUCUUUUUCUUGGGUGACAACGUAGGGCAACUUAUGAUAACACCUCACAUGUCCUACCGCUUAAUUCUGGGGUUCUUCAGACCUUGCGUGUCACUUUGAGCUGAUGCCGGAUUAGCUAGUUGGCGUGGUAAAGGCCCACCAAGGCGACGAUCCGUAGCUGGUCUGAGAGGAUGAUCAGCCACACUGGAACUGAGACACGGUCCAGACUCCUACGGGAGGCAGCAGUGGGGAAUAUUGGACAAUGGGCGCAAGCCUGAUCCAGCCAUACCGCGUGGGUGAAGAAGGCCUUCGGGUUGUAAAGCCCUUUUGUUGGGAAAGAAAAGCAGCAGGUUAAUACCCCGCUGUUCUGACGGUACCCAAAGAAUAAGCACCGGCUAACUUCGUG
This 492-nucleotide ribosomal RNA is filed under the name uncultured bacterium. Its description in RNAcentral is "partial 16S ribosomal RNA". It matches the Rfam family "Bacterial small subunit ribosomal RNA", at positions 29 to 507 of the family's 1533-position model. The record is from RNAcentral.